AUGUCAUGCUAGAACUGAUAUAAAAGAUCUUGCUGGUUUGACGGCUGUGGAAAUCCUGAAAGGCCCAGGUGGAUUAACAGAAAAAGAAAUUUGGAAUAUGCAAGUAGGCGGUGCAAGAUUUUCGUUUCCAUUAUAUAAAAGAGCAAUAUCUUCAUUAAUAUUAUUAUAUAAAAGUGUGAUAGCAUCUAAACAUUCAGUCCAUCAGGAAGCUCAGACAUCGAGAUUGAAGUCGAGGUCUUUGAUGUGGAAAUUAUUUCGGGAUAGGAAAUGUGAUAACAUCAAUAGCUGGAUCCAAUCAUGAAAUCAGAGAAAUUCAUGGAGUAAAUCAAGGAUCAUCAUAUCAAAUCAAGGAUAUUAAGGAAUCUGUAGAUUUACCUAUAUCAUUUUUCUAUGUAUAUAAAUAUAUACCUUGUACAGCAAAUAAUCAUAUAGAAAAAAGAGAAAUCAUUUUGUUCGUGGUAUCAGAGCAGUAAAGAUCCCACCUCGACAACAUCAGUUUAUCGUUCAAAUACACCUAACAUUUCUGCACCUGUUACUACCCCACCAUGGCUAACACAUCCAAGAAAGAAACAGAACAUGACCAGUUCACCUUAUCAAAUUCUGAUCACCCAGGCAUGUCACUGGUCAACGUCUCUCUCACAGGCGAUAAUUUCCUCGCUUGGAGUUGAUCCAUGUUGAUCGCAUUAAG
RNAcentral lists this unclassified non-coding RNA (688 nucleotides) under Hevea brasiliensis (rubber tree). The record is from RNAcentral. Lineage: Eukaryota; Viridiplantae; Streptophyta; Magnoliopsida; Malpighiales; Euphorbiaceae.